Molecule: long non-coding RNA, 728 nt
Organism: Cydia amplana
Lineage: Eukaryota; Metazoa; Arthropoda; Insecta; Lepidoptera; Tortricidae
Exons: 2
Source: RefSeq, a predicted model, not a curated record
UGAUCAACAUCACAAAUGCGGCUGCUCACGACGCUUCUCGGCCCACAAUUUCAGAUCAUACGCCACCCUACACGCCACAAUUUUGCUCUGAAGCUAGUAGUUUAGCCAAACAUAUAAAAAAACUUACCGAGACGAAGGACAAAUAUGCCGUCAGACUAAAAAAAGCUAUGUCUCUCUCAACCAACACGGCUUUUCAGAAAGCCAUCGGUAAAUUUACCACAAUGGCAUUGCUAUUUGUCAUGAUGCAAUUUAGGGAGAUAAAUAAAAAGAAAAUGGGAAGGAGAUUCACAAAGCAAGAAAAAAUAAUGGCAUUAUCUCUUUAUAAGCAAGGACCUAAGGCGUAUAGAUGGCUGAGGCACAUUUUUGUACUACCAUCGCCUCUCACAUUAUCAAGGAUGAUAUCCGCUGCAGCCUUAAAAGCCGGUAUAAAUGAUAACAUUUUCGAAAAUCUUAAAAAAAAGGCCAGAAAAAUGUCGAUAUCUGAAAGGCUGUGUAUUUUAUUCUUCGACGAGAUGGCAAUUAAACCUCAUUUUGAAUACAAUUCAAAAAAAGACAUGAUCAUCGGAUUCGUUGACAACGGAAAAAGGAGGGUCAAAAAAAUCGCUGACCACGCGCUAGUUUUUAUGAUAAGAGGCAUCACAAAAAAUUAUAAACAGCCCAUUAGUUACAGCUUUUGUUGUGGAGCCACCGAGAAACACGAAUUAGCGCAGGCCAUAAAAGACCACAUA